AUACGGAGGGGUGCAAGCGUUGUUCGGAAUUACCUUGGGCGUAAAGCGCGUGUAGGCGGUUGGUUAAGUCUGAUGUGAAAGCCCUGGGCUCAACCCGGGAAGUGCAUUGGAAACUGGCUAACUUGAGUACGGGAGAGGGUAGUGGAAUUUCGAGUGUAGGGGUGAAAUCCGUAGAUAUUCGAAGGAACACCGGUGGCGAAGGCGGCUACCUGGACCGAUACUGACGCUGAGACGCGAAAGCGUGGGGAGC
RNAcentral lists this ribosomal RNA (250 nucleotides) under uncultured bacterium. RNAcentral's name for it is "partial 16S ribosomal RNA". It matches the Rfam family "Bacterial small subunit ribosomal RNA", at positions 523 to 769 of the family's 1533-position model. The record is from RNAcentral.